RNAcentral lists this long non-coding RNA (296 nucleotides) under Sus scrofa (pig). RNAcentral's name for it is "lncRNA (ENSSSCG00070014553.1)". Lineage: Eukaryota; Metazoa; Chordata; Mammalia; Artiodactyla; Suidae. The record is from RNAcentral.
AUGCUUGACUUCUCCAAGUGGAAACGCUUAAAGCAAACUGCAGGUGUGUUCUCUUUAUUAACGUUGGACCUCAAACUACUUCCUUCAUCUGAAUGCCAUCCUCACCUAGACAUCAACAUAAAGGUCUCCAAAGUACAUAUUUAGGAAAAGAGCUUUGGGCAGAAAAGACAGUCAUCUUACACUGAUUCACCAGGAGUUGCAAGAAAAUAUAAGUAGAGAACUAGCAAGAGGUAUGUUGUCAAAAUUUAUGAAUUUACACACUGACUUCUGAAAUAAACUGUGAACAGUAAAUGGCA